UUCCGGUUGAUCCUGCCGGACCCGACUGCUAUUUGGGUGAGGAUAAGCCAUGCGAGUUGAAUGGGAUACCUAAAUUUCCCAUGGCAAACUGCUCAGUAACACAUGAUCAACUUACCCUAUAGAGAAAAAUAACCUCGGGAAACUGAGGAUAAUGUUUCAUAGUUGAAUAGGCUUGGAAAAGUUUUUCAAUAAAAGGGAUAAAAAAAAUGGUUUUUAUCUGCUAUAGGAUAGGAUCGUGGACGAUUAUGGUUGUUGGUGAGGUAACGGCUCACCAAGCCGAUAAUCGAUAGGGGCCGUGAGAGCGGGAGCCCCGAGAUGGGUACUGAGACAACGACCCAGGCCUUACGAGGCGCAGCAGGCGCGGAACCUCCGCAAUACACGAAAGUGUGACGGGGUUACCCAAAGUGUUCAAUUCUGAACUGUGGUAGGUGAGUAAUGUUCCCUACUAGAAAGGAGAGGGCAAGGCUGGUGCCAGCCGCCGCGGUAAAACCAGCUCUUCAAGUGGUCGGGAUAAUUAUUGGGCUUAAAGUGUCCGUAGCCGGUUUAGUAAGUUCCUGGUAAAAUCGGGUAGCUUAACUAUCCAUAUGCUAGGAAUACUGCUAUACUAGAGGGCGGGAGAGGUCUGAGGUACUACAGGGGUAGGGGUGAAAUCUUAUAAUCCCGAGAGGACCACCAGUGGCGAAGGCUGUCGGCUAGCACGCGCCUGACGGUGAGGGACGAAAGCUGGGGGAGCGAACCGGAUUAGAUACCCGGGUAGUCCCUGCUGUAAACGAUGCGAGCUAGGUGUUGGGGCGGCUACGAGCCGCUUCAGUGCCGCAGCGAAAGCGUUAAGCUCGCCGCCUGGGGAGUACGGCCGCAAGGCUGAACUUAAAGGAAUUGGCGGGGAGCACCACAAGCGUGAAGCUUGCGUUCAUUGGACUCAAC
RNAcentral lists this ribosomal RNA (924 nucleotides) under uncultured archaeon. Its description in RNAcentral is "bacterial SSU rRNA". It matches the Rfam family "Archaeal small subunit ribosomal RNA", at positions 1 to 916 of the family's 1478-position model. The record is from RNAcentral.